This 507-nucleotide long non-coding RNA is filed under the name Mus spicilegus (steppe mouse). RNAcentral describes it as "lncRNA (ENSMSIG00000030558.1)". Lineage: Eukaryota; Metazoa; Chordata; Mammalia; Rodentia; Muridae. The record is from RNAcentral.
CUAAAUGAAAAAGGUAGGGCCAAGUCAGUACUAACAGAUUCCUUUAAUUUAUUGAUAGAAUCAGUGGAAUUUUUAACUAUAUGCCAACAGUAAAAGUUUAACAUAAUUAGCAAAAAUUCUGACCCUAGAUUUCCUUGACAACAUGUUCCAUGCCAACAGCAUUCUGUUGUUGUGCUAGCAGAGCAAGCCAGAACUCCUAGACACUUGUCUUCAGGAACGAUGGGACUGAGCUGUGACUUCCGUAAUGAGGUUGGAAUUUAACGGAAGCACAUAUCAUGGUUAUGCGGCAAAAUUUUAGCCUUUCACAAGCUCCCAUCUACCAAAAUGCAACUACAUCCUACUUCAAAGAUCACCCUUUGCAGAGAUUUGAAGAUUUUUGUCUUGGUGGCUGGAAAACCUUCCCAGGAAAUUUCCAGGUAAGACGCACAAAUCACCAUCUUAAAUGGUGUUUGUUACAAAGAGCAUAGGGCUAAUAAAGUUAUUAUUAGAAAGUUGUUUGGCUGGUGA